AUUCAGCUGGGGUAUUUUGAAGGUGAUAAGUAUAUAAAUUCAACUAAAUCUAUCGAAUAAUGUAGAAUAGUCCAUCGUAUUCAACCAAAAUGAAUUCUGCAAUUACUUGUUUGGUUGUACUCGCGUCUCUGUUCUGUGUGGGAUCUGCAAUUUCAUAUUGCGACAUUUAUCCCAUGUUACCUGUUUGUGCAGCAAAAACAACAACAACAACAACAACAACACAAAAACCAGCAUUUGAUAUUUGUGCUUUUCAACCUAGCCAUUCGAGCUGCCAGCAAGUUGAAGUUAUAGAACCCGCAUAUUGUAAAGUGUUUC
Molecule: long non-coding RNA, 315 nt
Organism: Patella vulgata (common limpet)
Lineage: Eukaryota; Metazoa; Mollusca; Gastropoda; Patellidae
Exons: 3
Source: RefSeq, a predicted model, not a curated record